AGUGAACGCUGGCGGUAGGCCUAACACAUGCAAGUCGAACGGCAGCACAGUAAGAGCUUGCUCUUACGGGUGGCGAGUGGCGGACGGGUGAGGAAUACAUCGGAAUCUACUUUUUCGUGGGGGAUAACGUAGGGAAACUUACGCUAAAACCGCAUACGACCUACGGGUGAAAGCAGGGGAUCUUCGGACCUUGCGCGAUUGAAUGAGCCGAUGUCGGAUUAGCUAGUUGGCGGGGUAAAGGCCCACCAAGGCGACGAUCCGUAGCUGGUCUGAGAGGAUGAUCAGCCACACUGGGACUGAGACACGGUCCAGACUCCUACGGGAGGCAGCAGUGGGGAAUAUUGGACAAUGGGCGCAAGCCUGAUCCAGCCAUACCGCGUGGGUGAAGAAGGCCUUCGGGUUGUAAAGCCCUUUUGUUGGGAAAGAAAAGCAGCAGGUUAAUACCCCGCUGUUCUGACGGUACCCAAAGAAUAAGCACCGGCUAACUUCGUG
This 492-nucleotide ribosomal RNA is filed under the name uncultured bacterium. Its description in RNAcentral is "partial 16S ribosomal RNA". It matches the Rfam family "Bacterial small subunit ribosomal RNA", at positions 29 to 507 of the family's 1533-position model. The record is from RNAcentral.